Long non-coding RNA from Varroa destructor (honeybee mite), 538 nucleotides. NCBI's taxonomy places the organism in Eukaryota, Metazoa, Arthropoda, Arachnida, Mesostigmata, Varroidae. The record is from RefSeq and is a predicted model, not a curated record.
UGGGGGCCGGGGGGACUGAGCAGCUUUCAACAAUACAGCGUUUCCACUAACUAUCCCCUACGGCCCCAUUGAUGUGUAACCUGCGACAUCGUGUGCAGCUAUACAGACACCCUUGAAGUACACCUGAGAAAUUCUUCCUCAUUGUUUAAGCUGGUUACGAAGCACGUCGAGAGCUGAGUCGCGUAAUGGACUAAUAUUCGAAAAUGUGUUCAGGUAACUUGUGUUGAAAAUCGAUAAUUCCCUCGUACUUCUGAGCCGUUUGCUAUUAGGAUCGAUAGCGAUAAACAUACGGAACUUUUCAAUUGUAACCCCCCAUCAAAUGAUACUAGUAGAUGUAACUCGCUAGAGUGUCACUCAAGUGCGCUACAUAGAAGAACCUGAUCUGAUGGAGUGCAAUAUUAGUGUGAUGGCAGACCAGGGAUCUGAAACGCAAUGGCUCGGAGCGGUUUGUAAGUACGAAAGGUGCAGGAAGGUACAGAACAGUCUCAAAAGGAUUACCCGUUGGAGUUUAUCUGGACGACCCAAUUGGCAAUUGAUA